UUGAUAGCUUGCUAUCAGAUGACGAGCGGCGGACGGGUGAGUAAUACUUAGGAAUCUACCUAGUAGUGGGGGAUAGCACGGGGAAACUCGUAUUAAUACCGCAUACGACCUACGGGAGAAAGGGGGCAACUUGUUGCUCUCGCUAUUAGAUGAGCCUAAGUCGGAUUAGCUAGAUNGUGGGGUAAAGGCCUACCAUGGCGACGAUCUGUAGCUGGUCUGAGANNNNGAUCAGCCACACCGGGACUGAGACACGGCCCGGACUAAUACGGGAGGCAGCAGUGGGGAAUAUUGGACAAUGGGGGCAACCCUGAUCCAGCCAUGCCGCGNNUGUGAAGAAGGCCUUUUGGUUGUAAAGCACUUUAAGCAGUGAAGAAGACUCCGUGGUUAAUACCCACGGACGAUGACAUUAGCUGCAGAAUAAGCACCGGCUAACUCUGUGCCAGCAGCCGCGGUAAUACAGAGGGUGCAAGCGUUAAUCGGAAUUACUGGGCGUAAAGGGAGCGUAGGUGGCUCUGUAAGUCAGAUGUGAAAUCCCCGGGCUCAACCUGGGAACUGCAUCUGAAACUGUAGAGCUAGAAUAGGUGAGAGGAAGGUAGAAUUUCAGGUGUAGCGGUGAAAUGCGUAGAGAUCUGAAGGAAUACCGAUGGCUAAGGCAGCCUUCUGGCAUCAUAUUGACACUGAGGCUCGAAAGCGUGGGUAGCAAACAGGAUUAGAUACCCUGGUAGUCCACGCCGUAAACGAUGUCUACUAGUCGUUGGGUCCCUUGAGGACUUAGUGACGCAGCUAACGCAAUAAGUAGACCGCCUGGGGAGUACGGCCGCAAGGUUAAAACUCAAAUGAAUUGACGGGGGCCGCA
This 856-nucleotide ribosomal RNA is filed under the name Psychrobacter sp. UA-AR0227. RNAcentral's name for it is "bacterial SSU rRNA". It matches the Rfam family "Bacterial small subunit ribosomal RNA", at positions 72 to 925 of the family's 1533-position model. The record is from RNAcentral. Lineage: Bacteria; Pseudomonadati; Pseudomonadota; Gammaproteobacteria; Moraxellales; Moraxellaceae.